GAAAGUGCCUAAAGACGAGCUCGCGCCUGAUUAGCUAGUUGGUGGGGUAAAGGCCUACCAAGGCGACGAUCAGUAGCUGGUUUGAGAGAAUGAUCAGCCACACUGGAACUGAGACACGGUCCAGACUCCUGCGGGAGGCAGCAGUGGGGAAUUUUCCGCAAUGGGCGAAAGCCUGACGGAGCAAUACCGCGUGAGGGAUUAAGGCCUGUGGGUUGUAAACCUCUUUUCUCAAGGAAGAAUCAAUGACGGUACUUGAGGAAUAAGCAUCGGCUAACUCCGUGCCAGCAGCCGCGGUAAUACGGGGGAUGCAAGCGUUAUCCGGAAUUAUUGGGCGUAAAGCGUCUGUAGGUUGUUUAAUAAGUCUGUUGUUAAAGACUGGGGCUUAACCCCAGGAAAGCAAUAGAAACUGUUAGGCUAGAGUAUGGUAGAGGUAGAGGGAAUUCCUAGUGUAGCGGUGAAAUGCGUAGAUAUUAGGAAGAACACCGGUGGCGAAAGCGCUCUGCUGGGCCAUAACUGACACUCAGAGACGAAAGCUAGGGUAGCAAAUGGGAUUAGAUACCCCAGUAGUCCUAGCCGUAAACGAUGGAUACUAGGUGUUGCGUAACUCGAUUAUGCAGUGUUCUAGCUAACGCGUUAAGUAUCCCGCCUGGGGAGUACACUCGCAAGGGUGAAACUCAAAGGAAUUGACGGGGGCCCGCACAAGCGGUGGAGCAUGUGGUUUAAUUUGAUGCAACGCGAAGAACCUUACCAAGGCUUGACAUGUCACGAAUCUUUUUGAGAAGAAAGAGUGCCCUCGGGAACGUGAACACAGGUGGUGCAUGGCUGUCGUCAGCUCGUGUCGUGAGAUGUUGGGUUAAGUCCCGCAACGAGCGCAACCCUUGUCUUUAGUUACCAUCAUUUAGUUGGGGACUCUAGAGAGACUGCCGGUGACAAACCGGAGGAAGGUGAGGACGACGUCAAGUCAGCAUGCCCCUUAUGCCUUGGGCUACACACGUGCUACAAUGGCUAAGACAAAGAGCAGCAAGCUUGUGAAAGUUAGCAAAUCUCGUAAACUU
This 1055-nucleotide ribosomal RNA is filed under the name uncultured marine rappemonad. RNAcentral describes it as "bacterial SSU rRNA". It matches the Rfam family "Bacterial small subunit ribosomal RNA", at positions 211 to 1283 of the family's 1533-position model. The record is from RNAcentral.